Molecule: ribosomal RNA, 463 nt
Filed under: uncultured bacterium
Lineage: Bacteria
Description: partial 16S ribosomal RNA
Rfam family: Bacterial small subunit ribosomal RNA
Source: RNAcentral
GACGAACGCUGGCGGCGUGCUUAACACAUGCAAGUCGAACGGUGAACCUCUUCGGAGGGGAUCAGUGGCGAACGGGUGAGUAACACGUGGGCAACCUGCCCCCGGCUCUGGGAUAACUCCAAGAAAUUGGGGCUAAUACCGGAUGUUCACCGCUUCCCGCAUGGGUGGUGGUGGAAAGGGUUUCCGGCUGGGGAUGGGCCCGCGGCCUAUCAGCUUGUUGGUGGGGUAGUGGCCUACCAAGGCGACGACGGGUAGCCGGCCUGAGAGGGUGACCGGCCACACUGGGACUGAGACACGGCCCAGACUCCUACGGGAGGCAGCAGUGGGGAAUAUUGCGCAAUGGGCGGAAGCCUGACGCAGCGACGCCGCGUGGGGGAUGAUGGCCUUCGGGUUGUAAACCUCUUUCAGCAGGGACGAAGCGCAAGUGACGGUACCUGCAGAAGAAGCACCGGCCAACUACGUG